This 1531-nucleotide long non-coding RNA is filed under the name Sus scrofa (pig). Its description in RNAcentral is "lncRNA (ENSSSCG00040017419.1)". Lineage: Eukaryota; Metazoa; Chordata; Mammalia; Artiodactyla; Suidae. The record is from RNAcentral.
ACAAACUUAUAGUUACCAAGGGUGUCAGGGAGGGAUAGUUAGGAGUUUAGGAUUAGCAGAUGCAAACUAUUAUAAAUGGGAUGGAUAAGCAACAAGGUCCUACUGUGAAGCACAGGGAACUAUAUUCAAUAUUCUGUGAUAAAUCAUAAUGGAAAAGAAUACGAAAAAAGAACAUACACAUAUGUAUAACUGAAUCACUUUGCUGUACACCAGAAACUAAAACAACAUUGCAAAUCAACUACACUUCAAUAGAAAUACAUUUUUGAAAAAUUCCAUCAGAAAGAUUAAAAUAUAACAUCAGAAACAUUAUAAUACUUAGAAGUAAGUUUAGGGAGUUCCUGUCAUGCCACAGACAUUCGUUUCGUGGAAACGAAUCCGACUAGGAACCAUGAGAUUGUGGGUUCAAUCCUUGGCCUCGCUCAGUGGGUUAAGGAUCUGGUGUUGCCAUGAGCUGUGGUAUAGGUCACAGAUGCGGCUUAGAUCUGGUGUUGCUGUGGCUCUGGUGUAGGCCAGCAGCUACAGUUCUGAUUAUAUCCCUAGCCUGGGAACCUCCAUAUGCCGUGGGUGUGGCCCUAAAAGGACAAAAGACCAAAAAAAAAAAAAAAAAAAAAAAAAAAGAGUAAGUUUAGGAGUUCCCAUCAUGGUGCAGUGGGAACAAAUCUGACUAGGAACCAUGAGGUUGCAGUUGGAUUUGUUAACCACUGCGCCACGACGGGAACUCCAUCCAAUUAGUGUUUUUAAAACUCUGUCAUGCUGAAGACUGGUGAUGGCUUCCAUUAAAAAAAGGAAGAUCAAACAGGAAAAACAUAUGUGUGAUGUUAUUCUCAAAGUAAAGAGGAAAAAAAGGAAGAAAAUAACAAAUUCUGCUAGAAUCAAACUACUUAAACAAGAAUAUUUUAAUACUCAUAUAGCAUUUUUAGACAGUCUUUCAGACACAAAGUUUAUAUAAAACUAUAAAAAUAUAUGUAACAGCUUCAAACUAUACAGUUUAUUCAAUUUAACAGAAUGCCCAUGAAUCAGAAAAACAGGAUUUCCCAUUGUGGCUCAGUGGGUUGGGAGCCCAAAUAGUAUCCAUGAAGAUGAGGGUUUGAUCCUGGCCUUGCUCAGUGGGUUGAAGGAUCAGGCGUUUCUGAGAGCUGUGGUAUAGGUUGUAGAUGCAGCUUGGAUCCCGCAUUGCUGUGGCUGUAGUGUAGAUUGGCAGCUACAGCUCUUAUUCUACCCCUAGCCUGGGAACUUCCAUAUGCUGCAGGUGUGGCCCUAAAUUAAAAAAAAAGAAAAAAGAAAGAAAAGAAAAAAAAGAAAAGCAGAAUCACUAUGCAGUAAUUUAAGACAUAUGCAAUUUCAAAAAAUUUUUAUCCCAAUUUCUCAUUUAAAGUCUCAGACUACAUCUUAUCUAUUAUGUAUAAACAUAUGAAUAUGGAAUUUUGUACAUGAUGUUCACAAAUAAUAUGGCAGAAAUGUCUUCAGAGUUCUUAGGGUUUGGGUUACAAAUAAAAUUUAGGGAAUUUCAUCUUCUUUAUGAAUAGGAAGC